CAAAUCACGUCUAUCACACAAUCCAGAAUCACACUUGUAUAUCUCAAGCUCCUUCGGAAGUUUGGAGGCCUCCACCAAUAAUUCUCUAUAAAAUAAAUGUAGCUGGGGCACUCAAAAACGGUGAUUCAAUUCAUAGGGGCAUGUGUGGUUGUUAGAAAUGAGUGUGGUGACUUUAUGGGUAGACCUGGCAAUAUUGUACACGAUCAGUUAAUACGACACGAAUUCGGAUCUGAGUUAUCAUGUUGUGUUGAUAUCUUGUUGACCCAUUAGCCACACAUUAAGUUAACGGGUCGUGUAAAUUCGCGAAUACCCCUUAACUCGUUAAACUCAGUGAAAUUUUUGUAAAUUUAUAUCUUGUUCUUUUCUUUUUUUCUCCUUCUCUUUCUUCUCUUUCUUCUCUUCCUCCCCCAUUCCCGCGAGUCUCCCACUGUCUUUCUCUUAGUGAAACAGGCAGUGUCGUGUGAUUCACGAAUUGUAACGGGUUGUGUUCGUAUUUGACAUUUUUCACUCGUUUUCUUAUCGUGUCGUGUCAACCCAUCAAGAAAAGUAGGUUGACACGAACACGGCACGAACACUGCAAACACGAUACGAAUGCCGGGUCUAUUAUGGGUGCACGCAUUAAGCCAAUCCGAGCCAGUUAUGGGGCCAAGCAAACGGAGCUUAUGGCUACAAUUGAAGGAUUGCGUUUUGCUCUUGACAUGGACGUAUUUGACUUGUGCCAUUCUAGAGAUGGACGCAAAAGAAUGCAUAACUGGUAUUCUUAUGACGGAGUAAUGCAAUGGAACAUAUAGUCUUUUACUUGAAGAAGCAAAAUGCAUAUUAAGUAAAUUUAGAGUAGCUUUAUGUCAAUGGUCCCUAAGGAUCUGCAAUAAGGUGGCACACAUCUUGGCUCAAUUUGCAAUCAGCUUUAAUGAUUUUGUUUCUUGGAUUGAGGAAGCACCUACAUGGUUGCUCUCAUUUCUUACUCUCUUCUCGAGUUUUUGAAUGAAAUCUUGAUUCUAAAAUUAUAAAUAAAGAAUAUAUAUAUUAUUUA
Molecule: long non-coding RNA, 1033 nt
Organism: Prunus persica (peach)
Lineage: Eukaryota; Viridiplantae; Streptophyta; Magnoliopsida; Rosales; Rosaceae
Exons: 2
Source: RefSeq, a predicted model, not a curated record